MicroRNA precursor from Homo sapiens (human), 84 nucleotides. It matches the Rfam family "mir-548 microRNA precursor family". The record is from Rfam. Lineage: Eukaryota; Metazoa; Chordata; Mammalia; Primates; Hominidae.
UAUUAGGCUGGUGCAAAAGUAAUUGCGGUUUUUGCCAUUGUUUUUAAUGGCAAAAACCGCAAUUACUUUUGCACCACUCUAAUA